This is a long non-coding RNA of Dufourea novaeangliae, 1288 nucleotides long. RefSeq lists it as uncharacterized. The transcript is spliced from 2 exons. NCBI's taxonomy places the organism in Eukaryota, Metazoa, Arthropoda, Insecta, Hymenoptera, Halictidae. The record is from RefSeq and is a predicted model, not a curated record.
AAAGAGGUUCGGAAACUUCAAAAUGCUACUAACUCAAGGUCCAGUUGAUCACCCCACGGUUGUACUGUCGUGCAAUUUGAUUUGACUAGAAAGCUAUCAAACACAAUACAAAGACAACAAGAUUGGAUGGUGCGGAUGCGAGUUGAUGGAUGUGCGUGAGCGUUCCGAAGCGAUGACGAUGAUGGGGUGAUGAGUCUGCACGUGUCCCUGUCUGGCGACGGUAUUCGAGUACCGGCGCCUGAGCGCAGCCCAUUGGUCGAGACAAAAAAAAAAAUAUAAAUGAUAUACCUGUCUGCCUGCCGGAUGCCGAGAACCACGGAUGAUGAGGAGUGCAAGUGGAUGUUGCCGAUGAAUGAAGGCCAAGGCCGAAGCCUGUCCGAGGUGUUCCGGUGAUGCAAGUAUGCCUGAUAACGAGCCUGGGGCUUCUACCCGCGCGUGAUUGAGAAGUUGAACCUCAGGGAAAGGACGACUUCGAUGGACAGUGAUCGUGGCCAGUGAGAAAGAGGGAGAGAGAGAGAGGGAGAGAAAGGGAUGAACGGAAGAGGACACGAAAGAAUGAGAGACAUCAGAAUGCGACAGGGAGACCAAGAGAGACUGCGAAGCUGAAAGUCUGAGGAAUAAUUGAACGGGAGAAUGUUUCUUUCCAUGUUCAUUUUUUUUUUCAAAAAUGUAUGUAUGUAUGUAAGAGAGCAAGAGAGAACGAUAGUUAGAUAGAGUGUCGUAUAAAUAAAAUCGUUGUCACUAUGAAAGGACGUUCGAGUCUGGGUGAGAGUAAAUUAUGUUGAUUCGUUGCGAGCUUUAGCCGCCUAAAGCUCGUCAACGUUUAGCGUGUUAUGAUUUUCUCGAUUUCUCGUUUGAACGAUCGCAUCGCUCGUUGGAGAAAUCGAAGGAAUAAUGUCGUUUUGUCGAAUGGUUGUUGGCGUGAUUUGCAAUCAGGCGAAUAAACGAAAAUACUACUAAAUGGUUGUCGAGAUGCUGCUGCUGACUGUUGUAUGCCGAUGCAACCGAGUUUCGUGAGAAAGUGAGCUGUGCUCGAAAGAGAGAGAGAGAGAGAGAGAGAGAGAGAGAGAGAGAGAGAGAGAGAGAGAGAGGAUUGAAUAGAAAUGGAUGGUCGAGUGACUGCCAAAUGCUCGGAAAGGUCCGAUGAAACCUGGUGACCCCUGGUCCGAUCGUGCUGCGCGAGAAUUGAAAUGAAUCAGUUGUAGUAUGAUGAUGAGUAUGUUAUUUUUACCCGUAUGUGAAUGUCCGUUCCUGUUGAUUCAUUAAAAUUAAUAUUUUGCUGGCAUAA